Molecule: long non-coding RNA, 330 nt
Organism: Solea senegalensis (Senegalese sole)
Lineage: Eukaryota; Metazoa; Chordata; Actinopteri; Pleuronectiformes; Soleidae
Exons: 2
Source: RefSeq, a predicted model, not a curated record
UUGAGGGAACAUCUCAGAGGAGGAUGUUUUUUUUUGUCAGAAACUGCUAAUUCCAGUUUCAAAACUUACUCCAUUUGUUGGAAGAACAAAGAAGCCACAAGAAACAAACAAAGAAAAGCUCUGUGGAAAAAAGGGGAAUCAGUCAGACCGAGCAAGCAACUAAACAAGAGCCAACAUUCCAGAGAAGCUAACUAGCUACCAGUGUUCUCCUCAACAGGUCAGUGCACUGCCAUCCAAGUAGAGGCCUGAUAAUGUGCUGUGACCACUAAUCUGUCAACAAGUACAACGGUCUAUAUACAUUUUUGCAAUAAAGCUAUUCAUUAAUUUGGA